GCUAGAAUGGUCCAGUUGGUCAUGACGAGUGCCUAUCACGCAGUACUAACACCAUACUGCGGCAGUAGGUUCCGAGUUCGAUUGUCGGUUCCCGUACAGUU
Molecule: transfer RNA, 101 nt
Filed under: Perkinsus olseni
Lineage: Eukaryota; Perkinsozoa; Perkinsida; Perkinsidae
Description: tRNA-Asp
Source: RNAcentral